RNAcentral lists this ribosomal RNA (701 nucleotides) under Stenotrophomonas sp. RNAcentral describes it as "bacterial SSU rRNA". It matches the Rfam family "Bacterial small subunit ribosomal RNA", at positions 23 to 711 of the family's 1533-position model. The record is from RNAcentral. Lineage: Bacteria; Pseudomonadati; Pseudomonadota; Gammaproteobacteria; Lysobacterales; Lysobacteraceae.
CUCAGAGUGAACGCUGGCGGUAGGCCUAACACAUGCAAGUCGAACGGCAGCACAGUAAGAGCUUGCUCUUAUGGGUGGCGAGUGGCGGACGGGUGAGGAAUACAUCGGAAUCUACCUUUUCGUGGGGGAUAACGUAGGGAAACUUACGCUAAUACCGCAUACGACCUUCGGGUGAAAGCAGGGGACCUUCGGGCCUUGCGCGGAUAGAUGAGCCGAUGUCGGAUUAGCUAGUUGGCGGGGUAAAGGCCCACCAAGGCGACGAUCCGUAGCUGGUCUGAGAGGAUGAUCAGCCACACUGGAACUGAGACACGGUCCAGACUCCUACGGGAGGCAGCAGUGGGGAAUAUUGGACAAUGGGCGCAAGCCUGAUCCAGCCAUACCGCGUGGGUGAAGAAGGCCUUCGGGUUGUAAAGCCCUUUUGUUGGGAAAGAAAAGCAGUCGAUUAAUACUCGGUUGUUCUGACGGUACCCAAAGAAUAAGCACCGGCUAACUUCGUGCCAGCAGCCGCGGUAAUACGAAGGGUGCAAGCGUUACUCGGAAUUACUGGGCGUAAAGCGUGCGUAGGUGGUUGUUUAAGUCUGUUGUGAAAGCCCUGGGCUCAACCUGGGAAUUGCAGUGGAUACUGGGCGACUAGAGUGUGGUAGAGGGUAGUGGAAUUCCCGGUGUAGCAGUGAAAUGCGUAGAGAUCGGGAGGAACAUCC